GAUGAAGAACGUAGCGAAAUGCGAUAACUAAUGUGAAUUGCAGAAUUCAGUGAAUCAUCGAGUUUUUGAACGCACAUUGCGUCCCCUGGUAUUCCGGGGGGCAUGCCUGUCCGAGCGUCAUUGCUGCCCUCAAGCACGGCUUGUGUGUUGGGCCUCCGUCCUCCUCCCGGGGGACGGGCCCGAAAGGCAGCGGCGGCACCGCGUCCGGUCCUCGAGCGUAUGGGGCUUCGUCACCCACUAUUGUAGGCCCGGCCGGCGCUUGCCGACACAUCAAUCUUUUUUCCAGGUUGACCUCGGAUCAGGUAGGGAUACCCGCUGAACUUAAGCAUAUCAAUAAGCGGAGGA
RNAcentral lists this unclassified non-coding RNA (345 nucleotides) under soil metagenome. Its description in RNAcentral is "partial contains 5.8S ribosomal RNA, internal transcribed spacer 2, and large subunit ribosomal RNA". The stretch from base 1 to 120 matches the Rfam family "5.8S ribosomal RNA", at positions 35 to 154 of the family's 154-position model. The record is from RNAcentral.